This 308-nucleotide ribosomal RNA is filed under the name uncultured bacterium. RNAcentral describes it as "partial 16S ribosomal RNA". It matches the Rfam family "Bacterial small subunit ribosomal RNA", at positions 505 to 808 of the family's 1533-position model. The record is from RNAcentral.
GAGACAGCAGCCGCCGCGGUAAUACGGAGGGGGCAAGCGUUAUCCGGAAUUAUUGGGCGUAAAGGGUACGUAGGUGGCCUUUUAAGCGUAGGGUAUAAGGCAAUGGCUCAACCAUUGUUCGCCCUAUGAACUGGAAGGCUUGAGUGCAGGAGAGGAAAGCGGAAUUCCUAGUGUAGCGGUGAAAUGCGUAGAGAUUAGGAGGAACACCAGUGGCGAAGGCGGCUUUUUGGCCUGUAACUGACACUGAGGCGCGAAAGCGUGGGGAGCAAACAGGAUUAGAUACCCCUGUAGUCCCUGUCUCUUAUACA